ACGUAGGCUGCAAGCGUUGUUCGGAGUUACUGGGCGUAAAGAGCGUGUAGGCGGUUCGCCAAGUUAGGUGUGAAAUCUCCGGGCUCAACUGGGGGGGUGCGCCGGAUACUGGCGGGCUAGAGUGCGGGAGAGGGGAACGGAAUUCCUGGUGUAGCGGUGAAAUGCGUAGAUAUCAGGAGGAACGCCUGAGGUGUAGACGGCUCUCUGGACCGUUUCUGACGCUGAGGCGCGAAAGCGUGGGAAGCAAACAG
Molecule: ribosomal RNA, 251 nt
Filed under: uncultured prokaryote
Description: partial 16S rRNA
Rfam family: Bacterial small subunit ribosomal RNA
Source: RNAcentral